AUUGAACGCUGGCGGCAGGCCUAACACAUGCAAGUCGAACGAGUGGCGGACGGGUGAGUAAUGUCUGGGACACUGCCUGAUGGAGGGGGAUAACUACUGGAAACGGUAGCUAAUACCGCAUACCAUCGGAUGUGCCCAGCUGUGAUUAGCUAGUAGGUUGGGUAAAGGCUCACCUAGGCGACGAUCCCUAGCUGGUCUGAGAGGAUGACCAGCCACACGGGAACUGAGACACGGUCCAGACUCCUACGGGAGGCAGCAGUGGGGAAUAUUGCAAAAUGGGCGCAAGCCUGAUGCAGCCAUGCCGCGUGUAUGAAGAAGGCCUUCGGGUUGUCAAGUACUUUAAGCGGGGAGGCGUUACCCGCAGAAGAAGCACCGGCUAACUCCGUGCCAGCCGCCGCGGUAAUAC
Molecule: ribosomal RNA, 406 nt
Filed under: uncultured bacterium
Lineage: Bacteria
Description: partial 16S ribosomal RNA
Rfam family: Bacterial small subunit ribosomal RNA
Source: RNAcentral